This 497-nucleotide ribosomal RNA is filed under the name uncultured bacterium. Its description in RNAcentral is "partial 16S ribosomal RNA". It matches the Rfam family "Bacterial small subunit ribosomal RNA", at positions 28 to 507 of the family's 1533-position model. The record is from RNAcentral.
GAUGAACGCUGGCGGCGUGCCUAAUACAUGCAAGUCGAGCGAACGGACGAGAAGCUUGCUUCUCUGAUGUUAGCGGCGGACGGGAGAGUAACACGUGGAUAACCUACCUAUAAGACUGGGAAAACUUCGGGAAACCGGAGCUAAUACCGGAUGAUAUUUUGAACCGCAUGGUUCAAAAGUGAAAGACGGUCUUGCUGUCUCUUAUAGAUGGAUCCGCGCUGCAUUAGCUAGUUGGUAAGGUAACGGCUUACCAAGGCAACGAUGCAUAGCCGACCUGAGAGGGUGAUCGGCCACACUGGAACUGAGACACGGUCCAUGCUCCUACGGGAGGCAGCAGUAGGGAAUCGUCCGCAAUGGGCGAAAGCCUGACGGAGCAACGCCACGUGAGUGAUGAAGGUCUUCGGAUCGUAAAACUCUGUUAUUAGUGAAGAACAUAUGUGUAAGUAACUGUGCACAUCUUGACGGUACCUAAUCAGAAAGCCACGGCUAACUACGUG